Hevea brasiliensis (rubber tree) is the source of this 87-nucleotide small nucleolar RNA. RefSeq annotates it as small nucleolar RNA Z122. The record is from RefSeq and is a predicted model, not a curated record. The transcript has a single exon. Lineage: Eukaryota; Viridiplantae; Streptophyta; Magnoliopsida; Malpighiales; Euphorbiaceae.
UUUGGGAGAUGAUGAGAAAAUUCAAACAAAUCACCUGAGGCAUCAGAUGUGCUGAAAGUCUAUUUUGCACGUCAGUCUGAUCCCAGA